AGUAGUUGAUCCUGGCUCAAGAACGAACGCUGGCGGCAUGCCUAACACAUGCAAGUCGAACGAGACCUUCGGGUCUAGUGGCGCACGGGUGCGUAACGCGUGGGAACCUGCUUAGGUUCGGAAUAACUCAGAGAAAUUUGAGCUAAUACCGGAUAAUGUCUUCGGACCAAAGAUUUAUCGCCUUUAGAUGGGCCCGCGUAAGAUUAGCUAGUUGGUGGGGUAAAGGCCUACCAAGGCGACGAUCUUUAGCUGGUCUGAGAGGAUGAUCAGCCACACUGGGACUGAGACACGGCCCAGACUCCUACGGGAGGCAGCAGUGGGGAAUAUUGGACAAUGGGCGAAAGCCUGAUCCAGCAAUGCCGCGUGAGUGAUGAAGGCCUUAGGGUUGUAAAGCUCUUUACCCGAGAUGAUAAUGACAGUAUCGGGAGAAUAAGCUCCGGCUAACUCCGUG
Molecule: ribosomal RNA, 451 nt
Filed under: uncultured bacterium
Lineage: Bacteria
Description: bacterial SSU rRNA
Rfam family: Bacterial small subunit ribosomal RNA
Source: RNAcentral